RNAcentral lists this transfer RNA (74 nucleotides) under Aspidoscelis tigris. RNAcentral describes it as "partial tRNA-Glu". Lineage: Eukaryota; Metazoa; Chordata; Lepidosauria; Squamata; Teiidae. The record is from RNAcentral.
AUUGNUUUUACUUGGCCUNNCAAACCCAAGACUAACAGUACGAAAACUGCCGUUGUAAUUCAACUAUAAAAACC